GUUCUGGUGGCAUCCAAAGGACAAACUUCAAGUAAAAUGUGUUCAGCUCUGCCAAUAAAAAUACAAAGAUAAUGCCACAAACUGCUAGCCAUCUCCGUAAGCUGGAUGCUGGCUUCCACUCAAAUUUGACCCAGCUAUAUGGGGUGAACUGGAAGACAAUUCUCUUCAUUUUACCUUUGUAUGUAGGAAUGUUCCAAAGUCCUUGCCAUUUGUAUGUUUUCAAAGAAAGCCAAGAAAGAGUCUUCAUCCCACAGUAAAUUCCUAAUCCAUUACAUAAGAUCACAUCCAUUAUCCAGUGAUCCCACCAACAUUCACUGAAGUUUGGAAGCUGGUGUUCCAGACUGUACUCCAGAAAUUCAAACAUUACACUGAUGAUCAUACACAUCCACCAGUCUCGAAUCAUCAGUGUCUUCAGGUACCAGCCAAAGAAGUGAGCAGGAACAAAUCCAUCCAGUUUGUCCCAGAUGUUGUGAAAUGGAUCACUUUCGUUGCCAGGGUCAUAAAUAAGGCAGUUGCCACCAUAGUCUCUUUCUGGCAAAGGAACACCUAAAUGUGGAUCAAUGUACUUCAUAAACUGUCUGCCAUCUUGUACGGUCUGGAAGAGUAUGAAGAUGAGGAAGAGCUCAUACACAACGCUGACACACAGCCAAAACCUCCAGUAGGCUGGAUGAGGUCUUGAAAAUGGUCCAUCUUUAGCCUGUGUAACUCCAAAACACAGGAAAACCAAAAUACUGGCAACAAUACCUCUCUUUGUAUUGUAGGCUGUGUCUUGAGGUGUUUCUUCAAGUAAGGUUACGUAUCCCAGCGCACAGGUGAGGAUGAACAGAACUGUCAGGGUAUGAGCUCUCCAGAAGAACGUGUUGGUGCCGUCGUCGUAGACCUCAGACUCGGUGCUGCGGCGGAGGCCGAGCGCGGGGCCGUCCCUCUCGGGGCCGGGCGGCGGGGAGCCGCCGUUGGGCUGCUGGUGCUGCUCCUCCAGGGCGGCCUUACCCAGCGGCCCGGCGGGACCUCGGCGCUCGCCGCGCCUCAUGGCGGCAGCGGCCGCGGAACGACCCC
This 1056-nucleotide long non-coding RNA is filed under the name Gallus gallus (chicken). The record is from RNAcentral. Lineage: Eukaryota; Metazoa; Chordata; Aves; Galliformes; Phasianidae.